UACCGGCGGCUCGAGUGGUGGCCACUUUUAUUGGGCUUAAAGCGUUCGUAGCUGGGUUGUUAAGUCUCUUGGGAAAUCUGACGGCUCAACCGUCAGGCGUCUAAGGGAUACUGGCAAUCUUGGAACCGGGAGAGGUGAGGGGUACUUCGGGGGUAGGAGUGAAAUCCUGUAAUCCUCGAGGGACCACCUGUGGCGAAGGCGCCUCACCAGAACGGCUUCGACAGUGAGGGACGAAAGCUGGGGGAGCAAACCGGAUUAGAAACCCCAGUAGUCC
Molecule: ribosomal RNA, 274 nt
Filed under: uncultured prokaryote
Description: partial 16S ribosomal RNA
Rfam family: Archaeal small subunit ribosomal RNA
Source: RNAcentral